Pogona vitticeps (central bearded dragon) is the source of this 1008-nucleotide non-coding RNA. Lineage: Eukaryota; Metazoa; Chordata; Lepidosauria; Squamata; Agamidae. The record is from RefSeq and is a predicted model, not a curated record.
CAUCUAGGGUCACCCCUAUGUAGUCUACAGUCUGAGAGGGGACAAGAUGAGAUUUCUUGUAGUUUAUUCGAAGUCCCAAAUUUCGAAGUACAUGAAGUGUGAAUUUUGUGUCUUGUAGAGCCUUGCUUCUGGAUGGUGCGACCACUAGCCAGUCGUCGAUGUAAGGGAAGACUUGGACGCCGUGGAGCCGCAGGUAAGCUGCCACAGGGGCCAUGCACUUUGUAAAUGUCCUGGGAGCUGUUGCCAGGCCAAAUGGAAGGACCUGGUACUAAUAAAUGGUGUCCUGGAAGAUGAACCGAAGGAAUUUUUGAUGACUGGGAUGAAUCGAAAUGUGAAAAUACGCGUCCUUCAAAUCUAUAACUACAAACCAGUCGUUUUGUUUUAGUAGGUGUAUGAUGGAUUCUAAGGUCACCAUGCGGAAUCUGCGGGGACGAAGGUAAGUAUUUAGAAUCCUGAGAUCCAUGAUAGGUCUUAUUCCGCCGCCUUUUUUGGGCACGGCGAAAUACCUGGAGUAAAAACCGUUGAAAACGUCCUUUUUGGGAACUUUUUGGAUGGCAUGUUUUUCCAGCAAGGAUCGAACUUCUACCUGCAAGGAAGGGUCGAAAUACGUAUAUUCUACGUGACCUAAGGGUGGAUAUUCGGUAAACUCCAGACGGUAGCCGGAAUGAACGAUACCAAGGACCCAGGAGUCGGUUGUAACUGUGGACCAAUUGGGAAGACCAGAGGCAUCGAAUGGCAAGUCCUCAAUUAUAGUCUUUACAUCGUCAAGAAUGCUUGCUGAUCGAAGCCAGGCAUGCCUGCGUAAGGUGACUGAGGAUACGAGGAUACGAGCCGCGGCCUCGACAGAGUGGCGAGUAGCGAUCCUCUGAUGUUUGGACACCGUUUGAGCCUCUUCAAAGGUGUUAAGAUAGCCCUGUCUCACAUCAUCAGGCAACAGCUGUAAUCCUGGGAGGCGUUUAAGCCACAGCUGUUUUUAAGCUCUAGAAGAUUCCGAAAGGGACCGACGCU